UGAGGAAUAUUGGUCAAUGGGCGAGAGCCUGAACCAGCCAAAUCGCGUGAAGGAAGACUGCCUUAUGGGUUGUAAACUUCUUUUAUACAGGAAUAAAAAAGGGGACGUGUCCCUUAUUGCAUGUACUGUAUGAAUAAGCAUCGGCUAACUCCGUGCCAGCAGCCGCGGUAAUACGGAGGAUGCGAGCGUUAUCCGGAUUUAUUGGGUUUAAAGGGUGCGCAGGCGGGCUUUUAAGUCAGCGGUGAAAUCUCGGGGCUUAACUCCGAAACUGCCGUUGAAACUGGGAGUCUUGAGUAUGGAUGAAGUAGGCGGAAUUCGUUGUGUAGCGGUGACAUGCUUAGAUAUAACGAGGAACUCCGAUUGCGUAGGCAGCUUACUAAGCCAUAACUGACGCUCAAGCACGAAAGCGUGGGGAUCAAACAGGAUUAGAUACCCCUGGUAGUCCACGCCGUAAAACGAUGAUUACUAGUUGUAUGCGAUAUACCGUAUGUGACUAAGCGAAAGCGAUAAGUAAUCCACCUGGGGAGUACGCCGGCAACGGUGAAACUUAAAGGAAUUGACGGGGGUCAUAGCUGUUUCCU
Molecule: ribosomal RNA, 581 nt
Filed under: uncultured bacterium
Lineage: Bacteria
Description: partial 16S ribosomal RNA
Rfam family: Bacterial small subunit ribosomal RNA
Source: RNAcentral